Molecule: ribosomal RNA, 739 nt
Filed under: Nemania serpens
Lineage: Eukaryota; Fungi; Ascomycota; Sordariomycetes; Xylariales; Xylariaceae
Description: eukaryotic LSU rRNA
Rfam family: Eukaryotic large subunit ribosomal RNA (bases 153-739)
Source: RNAcentral
UGUUGCUUAGCGUUGGGAGCCUACUGGAACUCUCCUGUAGCUCUCCAAAGUCAGUGGCGGAGCCGGUUCGCACUCCAGACGUAGUAGCUUUUACAUAUCGCCUGUAGCUUGGACCCGGUCCCCUGCCGUAAAACACCCCAAAUCUUAUAGGUUGACCUCGGAUCAGGUAGGAAUACCCGCUGAACUUAAGCAUAUCAAUAAGCGGAGGAAAAGAAACCAACAGGGAUUGCCCUAGUAACGGCGAGUGAAGCGGCAACAGCUCAAAUUUGAAAUCUGGCCCUCGGGUCCGAGUUGUAAUUUGUAGAGGAUGCUUUUGGCGCGGUGCCUUCCGAGUUCCCUGGAACGGGACGCCUUAGAGGGUGAGAGCCCCGUACGGUUGGACACCAAGCCUCUGUAAAGCUCCUUCGACGAGUCGAGUAGUUUGGGAAUGCUGCUCUAAAUGGGAGGUAAAUUUCUUCUAAAGCUAAAUAUUGGCCAGAGACCGAUAGCGCACAAGUAGAGUGAUCGAAAGAUGAAAAGCACUUUGAAAAGAGGGUUAAACAGCACGUGAAAUUGUUGAAAGGGAAGCGUUUGCGACCAGACCUUUUCCUGGCGGAUCAUCCGGUGGUUUCCACCGGUGCACUUCGCCAGGUCGAGGCCAGCAUCGGUUUCCGCAGGGGGAUAAAAGCUCAGGGAACGUAGCUCCUCCGGGAGUGUUAUAGCCCUCCGCACAAUACCCUUGGGGGGACCGAGGACCGCG